AAUUAUUACUUUGGCAGAUUAGUGUAAUGAAUUUAGAAUUCAAAAAUGUAAUAUUUUACAAGUAAUA
RNAcentral lists this transfer RNA (67 nucleotides) under Hydroporus transpunctatus. Its description in RNAcentral is "transfer RNA-Leu". The record is from RNAcentral. Lineage: Eukaryota; Metazoa; Arthropoda; Insecta; Coleoptera; Dytiscidae.